This 677-nucleotide long non-coding RNA is filed under the name Marmota monax (woodchuck). The record is from RNAcentral. Lineage: Eukaryota; Metazoa; Chordata; Mammalia; Rodentia; Sciuridae.
CUUGGGCUUAUAUUGAUCAAAAGCUUCCCAUGGCAUUUCACUGAUUUCCCUGCAGCCAGCCAGUUCUUAUAAAGCCCUUUUAGUCCAUUUUUCAUAUAUCAUCUCUGUCCUCUGUUCCUUCUGCACUCCAGGAAUGUAAUCCUUACUGUUAUGGUUUGCAUGUGAGGUGUCCCCCAAAAGCUCUUGUGUGAGACAGUGCAAGAAGCUCAGAUGAGAAAUGAUUGGGUCACAAGAGUCUUAAUCCAAUCAGUGGUCUAAUCCCCUGUGGGAUUAAUUGGGUGGUAACCCUAAAGUGGGAGGGUGUGGCUGGAGGAGGUGGGAAUUGAGGCGUGGAGUCUCUCUCUCUGCUUCCUCUUCACCAUGUGAGCGGCUUCCGUCCACCACACUCUUCUUCCAUGAUGUUCACCCUCAUCUUGAGCCCCAAGGAAUGGAGUCAGCCUUCUGUAGACUAAGAUCUGCAAAACUGGCAGCCCUUAAAUAAACUUUUCCUCCUCUACAGUUGUUCUGGUUGGAUCUAGACCUGGCUCCUAAGAGCCUGGGACCAGGGUAACCCUAGUUACAGCAGUGAAAAAGCUGACUAAAACACUUACCUUGUCAGCCCAUUUGCCCAUCGUUCUUUCUGUCUGUCUUGAUAGCCUGCUUGAUUGUCUGCUUUCUUGCAGUGGUCCACUUACUCU